This 446-nucleotide ribosomal RNA is filed under the name uncultured bacterium. RNAcentral's name for it is "partial 16S ribosomal RNA". It matches the Rfam family "Bacterial small subunit ribosomal RNA", at positions 338 to 795 of the family's 1533-position model. The record is from RNAcentral.
CCUACGGGUGGCUGCAGUAGGGAAUUUUCGGCAAUGGGGGGAACCCUGACCGAGCAACGCCGCGUGAACGAAGAAGUUAUUCGUAAUGUAAAGUUCUUUCAACAGGGAAGAAAGAGAAAUUUGACGGUACCUGAAGAAUAAGCUCCGGCUAACUACGUGCCAGCAGCAGCGGAAAUACGCGGGGAGAGGGCGUUAUCCGGAUUUAUUAGGCGUAAAGGGUGGGUAGAUGGCAUAGUAGGUCUUUGGUAAAAAUGCUGGGCUAAACCCAGUAGGGCAAAAGAUACUGUAAAGCUAGAGUAUGACAGAGGCAAGUGGAACUACAUGUGUAGCGGUAAAAUGCGUAAAUAUAUGGAGGAACACCAGUGGCGAAGGCGGCUUGCUGGGUCGAUACUGACAUUGAGGCACGAAAGCGUGGGGAGCAAACAGGAUUAGAUACCCCUGUAGUC